AACGAACGCUGGCGGCAUGCCUAACACAUGCAAGUCGAACGAGACCUUCGGGUCUAGUGGCGCACGGGUGCGUAACGCGUGGGAACCUGCCCUUAGGUUCGGAAUAACUCCCCGAAAGGGGUGCUAAUACCGGAUAAUGUCUUCGGACCAAAGAUUUAUCGCCUUCGGAUGGGCCCGCGUUGGAUUAGCUAGUUGGUAGGGUAAAAGCCUACCAAGGCGACGAUCCAUAGCUGGUCUGAGAGGAUGAUCAGCCACACUGGGACUGAGACACGGCCCAGACUCCUACGGGAGGCAGCAGUGGGGAAUAUUGGACAAUGGGCGAAAGCCUGAUCCGGCAAUGCCGCGUGAGUGAUGAAGGCCUUAGGGUUGUAAAGCUCUUUUACCCGGGAUGAUAAUGACAGUACCGGGAGAAUAAGCUCCGGCUAACUCCGUG
RNAcentral lists this ribosomal RNA (433 nucleotides) under uncultured bacterium. Its description in RNAcentral is "partial 16S ribosomal RNA". It matches the Rfam family "Bacterial small subunit ribosomal RNA", at positions 29 to 507 of the family's 1533-position model. The record is from RNAcentral.